GAUGAAGAACGCAGCGAAAUGCGAUACGUAAUGUGAAUUGCAGAAUUCAGUGAAUCAUCGAAUCUUUGAACGCAUAUUGCGCUCUUUGGUAUUCCGAAGAGCAUGCUUGUUUGAGUAUCAGUAAACACCUCAAAGUCUUUUUUUUUCUUGAAGAAAAAGACCUUGGACUUGAGCAAUCCCAACUCUUCUUUCAGAAGAGGCGGGUUGCUUGAAAUGCAGGUGCAGCUGGACAUUCUCCUGAGCUAAAAGCAUAUUCAUUUAGUCCCGUCAAACGGAUUAUUACUUUUGCUGCAGCUGACAUAAAGGGAGUUUGACCAUUUUGGCUGACUGAUGCAGGAAUUUCACAAGAGUCUUCAAAACGCUCUUGUUAAACUCGAUCUCAAAUCAAGUAAGACUACCCGCUGAACUUAAGCAUAUCAAUAAGCGGAGGA
RNAcentral lists this unclassified non-coding RNA (431 nucleotides) under soil metagenome. RNAcentral's name for it is "partial contains 5.8S ribosomal RNA, internal transcribed spacer 2, and large subunit ribosomal RNA". The stretch from base 1 to 120 matches the Rfam family "5.8S ribosomal RNA", at positions 35 to 154 of the family's 154-position model. The record is from RNAcentral.